CCUACGGGAGGCAGCAGUGGGGAAUAUUGGGCAAUGGGCGCAAGCCUGACCCAGCGACGCCGCGUGAGGGAUGAAGGUCUUCGGAUUGUAAACCUCUUUCAGUGGGGAAGAAGCGAAAGUGACGGUACCCAAAGAAGAAGCACCGGCUAACUAUGUGCCAGCAGCCGCGGUAAUACAUAGGGUGCAAGCGUUGUCCGGAAUUAUUGGGCGUAAAGAGCUCGUAGGUCGUUCAUCACGUCGGAUGUGAAAAUCUGAGGCUCAACCUCAGACCUGCAUUCGAUACGAGUGAACUAGAGUUUGGUAGGGGAGACUGGAAUUCCUGGUGUAGCGGUGGAAUGCGCAGAUAUCAGGAGGAACAUCAAUGGCGAAGGCAGGUCUCUGGGCCAAUACUGACACUGAGGAGCGAAAGCGUGGGGAGCGAACAGGAUUAGAUACCCUGGUAGUCCCACGACCGUAACGGUAGGGCGACUAGUUGUGGGUACCGUCCGUACGGUUCCGUCGACGCAGCUACGACAUAAGUCGCCCGCCGUCGGGAGGUACGAGCGCGAAGUAAGUUAAACGUACUUAAUUAGUAAGUUAGUUACGGCGUUGAGACGUGCCGACGGACGACGACGAGGGAGGAGG
RNAcentral lists this ribosomal RNA (624 nucleotides) under uncultured bacterium. Its description in RNAcentral is "bacterial SSU rRNA". The stretch from base 1 to 528 matches the Rfam family "Bacterial small subunit ribosomal RNA", at positions 338 to 873 of the family's 1533-position model. The record is from RNAcentral.